GAGGGUAUAGCUCAUGUAGUAGAGUGCGUGCUUAGCGUGCAUGAGGUCCUGGGUUCAAUCCCCAGUUCCUCA
Molecule: transfer RNA, 72 nt
Filed under: Camelus bactrianus (Bactrian camel)
Lineage: Eukaryota; Metazoa; Chordata; Mammalia; Artiodactyla; Camelidae
Also listed under: 1 other name
Rfam family: tRNA
About the family: Transfer RNA (tRNA) molecules are approximately 80 nucleotides in length. Their secondary structure includes four short double-helical elements and three loops (D, anti-codon, and T loops). Further hydrogen bonds mediate the characteristic L-shaped molecular structure. tRNAs have two regions of fundamental functional importance: the anti-codon, which is responsible for specific mRNA codon recognition, and the 3' end, to which the tRNAs corresponding amino acid is attached (by aminoacyl-tRNA synthetases). tRNAs cope with the degeneracy of the genetic code in two manners: having more than one tRNA (with a specific anti-codon) for a particular amino acid; and 'wobble' base-pairing, i.e. permitting non-standard base-pairing at the 3rd anti-codon position.
Source: Rfam by way of RNAcentral